GUUUCAGAUGAUGUUUGUUUUUAAUUCAACUUGACCAAUAUAAUGUCAUAUUUCCCUAUGUCGCCUUUGGAAUCACAGAAAGCUCAAUGGUUGCAGCACACGAGAGGAAAUGGACGGGCCUCCGAUGAAGGCGCCAUGAUUCGUCGCCAUGGACUUGCGACAGGAUCCGAUGUUCGUGCCACCCUUAGUGUUUCAGACACUUCUGAUAAUCGCUGACAUAUCAAAGAAUAUACCACAAAGCUCCGGGUUAUUAACGCAUCUAAAACAAGCACAACAACAGCAGCAGGUGUGCCUGCAAAGUGCAAAGAAGGCUGUAACAGUUACCUCCCUUGAACGUUUGCUAUUUCGUCUGCAAUUGGUCGUGUCGGUUUGUUUUGUUUGCAGCUUAACAACAUAUUUAGUACAGUCAUGUGUGUACGUUGUAUAUCAAGACGCUUCGAGUAGUAUUUCGUUUGAAUGAAAUAUUAAUUCAUAUUGGAAGUAGUGUAUGUAUAUAUCUGGUACCACAUGGAACAUUUUAACACUUGCUGCCAGUUUCCUUUCCACUAAAUCUAAAGACAAAUGGUAUCAUAAAAGAUUUAGUAAUCUGCACUCACUAAUUAUAUUAUUAUGUUAUUUAUACCGAAUAAAACCAAUUCUAUAUAUUUUAGCAGUUAGUGUUGACGUUUAAGAAAAGUCUGAAUCAAAAUUUAUAAAAUUGUUUUUUGAAACGUUCGUAAAAUAAUUCAAACUACUCCACAAUCUCCACACUCAUGACCCGUUGUUCAAAACUAUUUAACACGCUCCACGAGAAACGUAGCACCUGAACAAAGGUAUAUUGUCUAUGCAGUGUUACA
Molecule: long non-coding RNA, 836 nt
Organism: Haliotis rubra (blacklip abalone)
Lineage: Eukaryota; Metazoa; Mollusca; Gastropoda; Lepetellida; Haliotidae
Exons: 3
Source: RefSeq, a predicted model, not a curated record